Apis cerana (Asiatic honeybee) is the source of this 770-nucleotide long non-coding RNA. RefSeq lists it as uncharacterized. NCBI's taxonomy places the organism in Eukaryota, Metazoa, Arthropoda, Insecta, Hymenoptera, Apidae. The record is from RefSeq and is a predicted model, not a curated record.
UUAAAUUCAUAUAAUUCCAAAAUUUAUUUUCACUCUUUCAAAUUCUAUAAUAGUUAUAAUAAAAUUUUAAAUUUUUUAUACAAGCUAUGUCAAUUAUAUAAUGUGAAAUAACAUGAAGUUUCUCUUCUAUAUUUCAAUUAUUCUAUGUUUAUAUCACAAUGAAGGCGAAUGUCUAGUUAAAAUCUCAAAAUUUUAACUUUGAUAUAUUAAUCAAAUAUAAAUACCUAUCUAAAAACUUUGUUCACUGCAUUGUUAUAUUACUGCGAUUGUAAAUUAAUCUGAAAAAUAAUAUAUCAAUUUUGUUACUUAUUAUUGUGAUCUCUUAAACGCAAUUUGAUGGGGAUUUUUCGUAUUAUUAGACGUUAUUGGAUUGUAACUUGUAUGCCUCUUUUGACUGCUACUUUUAUUAUCUUAGAUUUAAAUCGUACUCGAAAUUGGAAAAAAUUUUUAAAUGAACAGGAAAAAUUAAAAUCAAAAAAUUGAAAUGGCAUUCCUAAAAAAUUCACUUGUGACACAAUAUAGUUUAUCUGUUGCUGGACUUAUUGGUGCAUAUUUUUUGACACGCUAUUUAUAUAAUUAUGCUUCUGAUUUAACAAUGACAACUUAUCGUGACAAAUCAGCUUUAUAUGGAAGAGAAUUAAAACCUGGAGAGCCUCCGUCUUGGCCGUAAUAUAUUAGUUAUAUUCCUUAAAAAAAAAUUUAUAUAUUAAAAAAUGUAAAGUUUAUUAUAACUAUAAAAGAGUAAUAAACUAGUAGUAAUGUAACAUGUA